UACAGAGGGUGCGAGCGUUAAUCGGAAUGACUGGGCGUAAAGGGUGCGUAGGUGGUUUGAUAAGUUAGGUGUGAAAGUCCUGGGCUUAACCUGGGGAUUGCGCUUAAGACUGUCAAGCUAGAGUACUGUAGAGGAAGGUGGAAUUUCCGGUGUAGCAGUGAAAUGCGUAGAUAUCGGAAGGAACAUCAGUGGCGAAGGCGACUUUCUGGACAGAUACUGACACUGAGGCACGAAAGCGUGGGGAGCAAACAGG
Molecule: ribosomal RNA, 253 nt
Filed under: uncultured Gammaproteobacteria bacterium
Lineage: Bacteria; Pseudomonadati; Pseudomonadota; Gammaproteobacteria
Description: partial 16S ribosomal RNA
Rfam family: Bacterial small subunit ribosomal RNA
Source: RNAcentral